GCAUCUCCAGCAGUUUCCAACUCAGUGCGGGUCGCAACCCACCAAUCAUCAGCUUCCUCUGACAGCAUAUGUGUACCGAACCUGACCUUCUAGUUAUCAGCACACUCAGUUACUCUGAAGAUCCUCUCUAUCUCCUUCAACCACUUCUGAGCACCAUCUGGAUCGUAUGCUCCUUUGAACAUUGGAGGAUUGUUCUUCUGGAACUCACUCAGUU
This 214-nucleotide long non-coding RNA is filed under the name Lathyrus oleraceus (garden pea). RNAcentral's name for it is "Pisum sativum (pea) long non-coding RNA (PSAT_LNC006472)". Lineage: Eukaryota; Viridiplantae; Streptophyta; Magnoliopsida; Fabales; Fabaceae. The record is from RNAcentral.